RNAcentral lists this ribosomal RNA (524 nucleotides) under uncultured bacterium. RNAcentral's name for it is "partial 16S ribosomal RNA". It matches the Rfam family "Bacterial small subunit ribosomal RNA", at positions 28 to 523 of the family's 1533-position model. The record is from RNAcentral.
GACGAACGCUGGCGGCGUGCCUAAUACAUGCAAGUCGAGCGCAGGGAACUGACGGAACUCUUCGGAGGGAAGGUAGUGGAAUGAGCGGCGGACGGGUGAGUAACACGUAAGGAACCUGCCUCAAGGAUUGGGAUAACUCCGAGGAAUCGGAGCUAAUACCGGAUAGUUCAACGGACCGCAUGGUCCGCUGAUGAAAGGCGCUCCGGCGUCACCUUGAGAUGGCCUUGCGGUGCAUUAGCUAGUUGGUGGGGUAACGGCCCACCAAGGCGACGAUGCAUAGCCGACCUGAGAGGGUGAUCGGCCACACUGGGACUGAGACACGGCCCAGACUCCUACGGGAGGCAGCAGUAGGGAAUCUUCCACAAUGGACGAAAGUCUGAUGGAGCAACGCCGCGUGAGUGAUGAAGGUUUUCGGAUCGUAAUACUCUGUUGUAAGGGAAGAACACGUACGAGAGGAAAUGCUCGUACCUUGACGGUACCUUACGAGAAAGCCACGGCUAACUACGUGCCAGCAGCCGCAGUAA